RNAcentral lists this ribosomal RNA (508 nucleotides) under uncultured Actinomycetes bacterium. Its description in RNAcentral is "bacterial SSU rRNA". It matches the Rfam family "Bacterial small subunit ribosomal RNA", at positions 8 to 537 of the family's 1533-position model. The record is from RNAcentral. Lineage: Bacteria; Bacillati; Actinomycetota; Actinomycetes.
AGAGUUUGAUCCUGGCUCAGGACGAACGCUGGCGGCACGCUUAACACAUGCAAGUCGAACGCCCUCGACCUUCGGGUCAUAUGGGGGAGUGGCGAACGGGUGAGUAACACGUGAGAAACCUGCCUCGAAGAUUGGGACAACCACUGGAAACGGUGGCUAAUACCGAAUACCUUCCUACCGUCGCAUGGCGGUUUGAAGAAACGCUCCGGCGCUUUGAGAGGGUCUCGCGGCCUAUCAGCUAGUUGGUGAGGUAAUGGCUCACCAAGGCAUCGACGGGUAGCUGGUCUGAGAGGACGAUCAGCCACACUGGGACUGAGACACGGCCCAGACUCCUACGGGAGGCAGCAGUGGGGAAUCUUGCGCAAUGGGCGAAAGCCUGACGCAGCGAUGCCGCGUGGGGGAUGAAGGCUCUCGGGUCGUAAACCCCUUUCAGCAGGGACGAAAAUGACGGUACCUGCAGAAGAAGCCCCGGCCAACUACGUGCCAGCAGCCGCGGUAAUAAGGGCGA